UUACUCUUUCACUGGGUUCUACAUCCUGCCU
Molecule: non-coding RNA, 31 nt
Filed under: Mus musculus (house mouse)
Lineage: Eukaryota; Metazoa; Chordata; Mammalia; Rodentia; Muridae
Source: RNAcentral